UCCGUAGGUGAACCUGCGGUUGGAUCAUUACAAAAUUGGUAUCUUACCAAAACACCGUGUGCACCAUAACUGUUCUUGGUAGCGUAUUGGAUGGGUCACGUACCCCACAUCGGCAGUGCACGUGAGGACUUCGGUCUUUGACUGUGCGAGUCAGCUGUGGGACCUACUGGCCUUUCUCGAUCGCUGCCGCACGUCCAAACAUUGUAUUACAAAAUUAUAGUCUGAAUCAGUUCACCACAAAGUGAAAUGAAAAACAACUUUUGACAACGGAUCUCUUGGCUCUCGCAACGAUGAAGAACGCAGCGAAUUGCGAUAAGUAAUGUGAAUUGCAGAAUUCAGUGAAUCAUCAAAUCUUUGAACGCACAUUGCGCUCUCUGGUAUUCCGGAGAGCAUGCCUGUUUGAGAAUCGAUAAAACCCUCACAUGUCCCUCCCUCUUUGGAACAGUUCAAAGUUGGGAGGUGCGCCUCUGUGGAUCUGGAUCGUUUGUGGACCUCCGAGUCUACAAUGAUCUUAAAUGAAAUGUCUACAGCUCUUGUUGUCCUCAACAAAGCCCAGAGUGCAUGAAUGGAGUUUGAAAGAACUUGAUCCUCACGAUGGUGUUUUGUUCAAAGGCUCGCUUGUUGUGUACCCAACCAUUACAUUGGUGGAUGCAUCCCUGUUGGUGUGUCUUCCAAAAACUUGGUCUCAAAUCAGGUAGGAAAACCCGCUGAACUUAAGCAUAUCAAUAAGCGGAGGAAAAGAAACUAACAAGGAUUCCCCUAGUAACGGCGAGUGAAGCGGGAAUAGCUCAAAUUUGAAAUCUUACAGGUUCCCUGUACGAAUUGUAGUUUAGAGAAACGUUUUCGGGUGUUGCUUGAGCAAUAAGUCCUUUGGAAUGAGGCAUCAUAGAGGGUGAGAAUCCCGUCCUGGGCUCAAGCUAUCGCUUAUGUGAUACGUUUUCCACGAGUCGGUUUGUUUGGGAAUGCAGACCAAAAUGGGUGGUAAAUACCAUCUAAAGCUAAAUAUUGGCGAGAGACCGAUAGCGAACAAGUACCGUGAGGGAAAGAUGAAAAGAACUUUGAAAAGAGAGUUAAAUAGUACGUGAAAUUGUCAAAAGGGAAACGCUUGAAGU
RNAcentral lists this small RNA (1112 nucleotides) under uncultured fungus. RNAcentral's name for it is "eukaryotic LSU rRNA". The stretch from base 681 to 1112 matches the Rfam family "Eukaryotic large subunit ribosomal RNA", at positions 1 to 429 of the family's 3401-position model. Lineage: Eukaryota; Fungi. The record is from RNAcentral.